This 69-nucleotide ribosomal RNA is filed under the name uncultured bacterium. RNAcentral describes it as "partial 16S ribosomal RNA". The record is from RNAcentral.
ACCAGAAGUAGGUAGUCUAACCGCCAACGGAGGGACGGCGUUACCACGGUCGGGAGUCAUGACUGGGUG